This 319-nucleotide ribosomal RNA is filed under the name uncultured Geobacter sp. RNAcentral's name for it is "bacterial SSU rRNA". It matches the Rfam family "Bacterial small subunit ribosomal RNA", at positions 67 to 373 of the family's 1533-position model. Lineage: Bacteria; Pseudomonadati; Thermodesulfobacteriota; Desulfuromonadia; Geobacterales; Geobacteraceae. The record is from RNAcentral.
CGUGAUCCGCCCUUCGGGGUGGUGAAAGUGGCGCACGGGUGAGUAACGCGUGGAUAAUCUGCCCGAGGAUUUGGGAUAACAUCUCGAAAGGGGUGCUAAUACCGAAUAAGCCCACGGGGUCUACGGAUCUUGCGGGAAAAGGGGGGGACCUUCGGGCCUCCUGUCCUUGGAUGAGUCUGCGUACCAUUAGCUAGUUGGUGGGGUAAUGGCCUACCAAGGCGACGAUGGUUAGCUGGUCUGAGAGGAUGAUCAGCCACACUGGAACUGAGACACGGUCCAGACUCCUACGGGAGGCAGCAGUGGGGAAUUUUGCGCAAUG